This 588-nucleotide ribosomal RNA is filed under the name uncultured bacterium. Its description in RNAcentral is "partial 16S ribosomal RNA". It matches the Rfam family "Bacterial small subunit ribosomal RNA", at positions 355 to 937 of the family's 1533-position model. The record is from RNAcentral.
UGGGGAAUAUUGGACAAUGGGCGCAAGCCUGAUCCAGCAAUGCCGCGUGUGUGAAGAAGGCCUUCGGGUUGUAAAGCACUUUUAUCAGGAGCGAAACGCUGUCGGCUAAUACCCGGCGGAACUGACGGUACCUGAGGAAUAAGCACCGGCUAACUUCGUGCCAGCAGCCGCGGUAAUACGAAGGGUGCAAGCGUUAAUCGGAAUUACUGGGCGUAAAGCGUGCGUAGGCGGUUUCUUAAGUCUGCUGUGAAAUCCCCGGGCUCAACCUGGGAAUGGCAGUGGAUACUGGGAGGCUAGAGUGUGUCAGAGGGUGGUGGAAUUCCCGGUGUAGCGGUGAAGUGCGCAGAGAUCGGGAGGAACAUCAGUGGCGAAGGCGGCCACCUGGGACAACACUGACGCUGAGGCACGAAAGCGUGGGGAGCAAACAGGAUUAAAUGACCCUGGUAGUCCACGCCCUAAAGCGAUGCGAACUGGAUGUUGGUCUCAACUCGGAGAUCAGUGUCGAAGCUAACGCGUUAAGUUCGCCGCCUGGGGAGUACGGUCGCAAGACUGAAACUCAAAGGAAUUGACGGGGUCAUAGCUGUUUCC